ACGGGUGAGUAAUACAUCGGAACGUGCCCUGUAGUGGGGGAUAACUAGUCGAAAGAUUAGCUAAUACCGCAUACGACCUGAGGGUGAAAGUGGGGGACCGCAAGGCCUCAUGCUAUAGGAGCGGCCGAUGUCUGAUUAGCUAGUUGGUGAGGUAAAGGCUCACCAAGGCGACGAUCAGUAGCUGGUCUGAGAGGACGAUCAGCCACACUGGGACUGAGACACGGCCCAGACUCCUACGGGAGGCAGCAGUGGGGAAUUUUGGACAAUGGGGGCAACCCUGAUCCAGCAAUGCCGCGUGUGUGAAGAAGGCCUUCGGGUUGUAAAGCACUUUUGUCCGGAAAGAAAUCGCACUUACUAAUAUUAGGUGUGGAUGACGGUACCGGAAGAAUAAGGACCGGCUAACUACGUGCCAGCAGCCGCGGUAAUACGUAGGGUCCAAGCGUUAAUCGGAAUUACUGGGCGUAAAGCGUGCGCAGGCGGUUGUGCAAGACCGAUGUGAAAUCCCCGGGCUUAACCUGGGAAUUGCAUUGGUGACUGCACGGCUAGAGUGUGUCAGAGGGGGGUAGAAUU
This 570-nucleotide ribosomal RNA is filed under the name uncultured bacterium. RNAcentral's name for it is "bacterial SSU rRNA". It matches the Rfam family "Bacterial small subunit ribosomal RNA", at positions 102 to 668 of the family's 1533-position model. The record is from RNAcentral.